GUACUUGCCUGGCAGGGGAGACACCUUGAUCAUGAAGGAGGUUUUCCCAGGGUGAGGCUCAUCCAUUGCACUACGAGUGUGCUGACCCCGACCAUUUCCCCAAAUGCGGGAUACUCGACUGCAUAAUUUGUGGUUGUGGUGGUUGUUGUUUAGUCGUUU
This is a small nuclear RNA of Podarcis muralis (Common wall lizard), 159 nucleotides long. Its record names the gene U1. It matches the Rfam family "U1 spliceosomal RNA". From Rfam's summary of the family: U1 is a small nuclear RNA (snRNA) component of the spliceosome (involved in pre-mRNA splicing). Its 5' end forms complementary base pairs with the 5' splice junction, thus defining the 5' donor site of an intron. There are significant differences in sequence and secondary structure between metazoan and yeast U1 snRNAs, the latter being much longer (568 nucleotides as compared to 164 nucleotides in human). The record is from Ensembl. NCBI's taxonomy places the organism in Eukaryota, Metazoa, Chordata, Lepidosauria, Squamata, Lacertidae.